Gasterosteus aculeatus aculeatus (three-spined stickleback) is the source of this 1267-nucleotide long non-coding RNA. NCBI's taxonomy places the organism in Eukaryota, Metazoa, Chordata, Actinopteri, Perciformes, Gasterosteidae. The record is from Ensembl.
GUGAGGGUCUCAGGUCUCAGGCUGGGUGAGGGUCUCAGGUCUCAGGCCGGGUGGGGGUCUCAGGUCUCAGGCCGGGGGCCACGAGCUGCCACCAUCCAUGUGGGGGAUGCGUUUAGCUGAAGGGAUCAAACAGGUGAGGAUGAGCUGCAGAACGUUUUUCGGCCCACAGUGUAAUAAGUUGUUAACGUCAGCUCCUCCUCACACUCAGCUGCCUGCUGUUCCCCCACAACAGGUACUGAGAUGUGGCUGAGUGAAGGUCUGUGGGGGCCAAACCCGUCCAACGUGAGGGCUGGUUUGUGUAUGGAUCCGUGUUUCAGCCUCUAAUCUCCUCUGUGUGCGUGAGUCAUGGUGGUUUGUGUUACUCGAGUUGUUUAGUCUAAAUGUACCAGCAGACUGUGAGAAAGAUCUCUGCCGUUACACCAGUGCUCCCCGUGUCAGAAGCCCUGUUAAGGGCAGAAAUGGGGGUCGGCAGCGCUGUGUGUGGAGAUGCUGCUGCCUUGUUGAGACCUUCACGCACAUUUAAUGAGAGAAGAAAAGAUACAAACACAAUACACACGAUGCACCUCUGAUGAGCACAUGAUCCUGCUCUCACACACACACACACACACACACACACACACACACACGCCGUCCUCACACACACACACACACAACUACAAAAAUCCCUUUUUCCUUUCAUCAGGCGUUUGACUAAUAGUGAGAAAAAUGGACGUCCUCUCGCUGCGCGUCAGUCCGUGUUGGGACACGUGAGAGAAGCUCACGGCCGCUGACAGCAGAAAACACCACCCGACCCGAAGGUGUAGCGGCUGCCCUCCGUGUCAGCAUGGUCGCUCUUUGGGCCCGUCAGCUGUUGGCCACGCGCUCAGCCGCCGCAUCGAGGCCUGUGAAGUAAAACGCUGCCGGUUUGAUAUUUAGCAGCUUUAUUAUUUCUCUGCUGAGUGCAGACAGGAGCCCGUUGUUGCUGCUCCCCUUCAGAUAAGCGUCCAGGAUAAGUUCCCUCAACCCGUGUGACCCUGACAGGCAGCGCCAGACUUAAUCCCCCGCCACACACGCACACACACACACACACACGCACGCACACACACACACACUCACUGACGCACACACACACUCCUGCAUGCCUUCGUCCCCUCUGGCUCCUCGGCCUCCUAUAAGCACACGUAUAAGAGGUAAGAGAACAGUUAGGACACAGCAGUUAGUAGGUAACACACAGUACACACUCACACACACACACGCACACACACACACACACACACACACACACACA